AUUCAGAGACAUCAAAGUAAGUGU
RNAcentral lists this non-coding RNA (24 nucleotides) under Arabidopsis thaliana (thale cress). The record is from RNAcentral. Lineage: Eukaryota; Viridiplantae; Streptophyta; Magnoliopsida; Brassicales; Brassicaceae.